GAUGAACGCUAGCUACAGGCCUAACACAUGCAAGUCGAGGGGUAACGACUGGGAAAGCUUGCUUUUCCAGGGCGACGACCGGCGCACGGGUGAGUAACGCGUAUCCAACCUGCCUGGAACCAAGGGAUAACCCGUAGAAAUGCGGCCUAAUACCUUAUGUUGUCCGAAGAAGGCAUCUGACUUGGACAAAAGAUCCGUCGGUUCCGGAUGGGGAUGCGUCUGAUUAGGUAGUAGGCCGGGGGCAACGGCCCACCUAGCCGACGAUCAGUAGGGGUUCCUGAGAGGAAGGUCCCCCCANAUUGGAACUGAGACACGGUCCAAAACUCCUACGGGAGGCAGCAGUGAGGAAUAUUGGG
Molecule: ribosomal RNA, 356 nt
Filed under: uncultured bacterium
Lineage: Bacteria
Description: bacterial SSU rRNA
Rfam family: Bacterial small subunit ribosomal RNA
Source: RNAcentral